AACCAUAGAAACCUGCGGAGUACCUGCGGAAGGAUCAUUAACGAAUGGUCUUUGUACCUUCAAAACCCCUCAAACCAGUGGACAUGAAAAUGUGCUUCGGCGCUCUGGCGCCGCUUUUAUGCUGUAAUUCUGUCAUUUGUGUCUGAAUGCAAAGCAAAGAAUCAAAACUUUUAACAACGGAUCU
Molecule: unclassified non-coding RNA, 184 nt
Filed under: soil metagenome
Description: partial contains 5.8S ribosomal RNA, internal transcribed spacer 2, and large subunit ribosomal RNA
Source: RNAcentral